RNAcentral lists this ribosomal RNA (856 nucleotides) under uncultured bacterium. RNAcentral describes it as "SSU rRNA". It matches the Rfam family "Bacterial small subunit ribosomal RNA", at positions 524 to 1381 of the family's 1533-position model. The record is from RNAcentral.
UACGAAGGGACCUAGCGUAGUUCGGAAUUACUGGGCUUAAAGAGUUCGUAGGUGGUUAAAAAAGUUGAUGGUGAAAUCCCAAGGCUCAACCUUGGAACUGCCAUCAAAACUUUUUAGCUAGAGUGUGAUAGAGGAAAGUGGAAUUUCUAGUGUAGAGGUGAAAUUCGUAGAUAUUAGAAAGAACAUCAAAAGCGAAGGCAACUUUCUGGAUCAUCACUGACACUGAGGAACGAAAGCAUGGGUAGCGAAGAGGAUUAGAUACCCUCGUAGUCCAUGCCGUAAACGAUGUGUGUUAGACGUUGGAAAUUUAUUUUCAGUGUCGCAGCGAAAGCGAUAAACACACCGCCUGGGGAGUACGACCGCAAGGUUAAAACUCAAAUGAAUUGACGGGGACCCGCACAAGUAGUGGAGCAUGUGGUUUAAUUCGAAGAUACGCGCAGAACCUUACCAACACUUGACAUGUUCGUCGCGACUCUAAGAGAUUAGAGUUUUCGGUUCGGCCGGACGAAACACAGGUGCUGCAUGGCUGUCGUCAGCUCGUGUCGUGAGAUGUUGGGUUAAGUCCCGCAACGAGCGCAACCCUCACUUUUAGUUGCCAUCAUUAAGUUGGGCACUCUGAAAGAACUGCCAGUGAUAAGCUGGAGGAAGGUGGGGAUGACGUCAAGUCCUCAUGGCCCUUACGUGUUGGGCUACACACGUGCUACAAUGGUAUCUACAACAGGAAGCAAGACUGCGAAGUUAAGCAAAUCCUUAAAAGAUACCUCAGUUCGGAUUGCACUCUGCAACUCGAGUGCAUGAAGCUGGAAUUACUAGUAAUCGUGGAUCAGCGUGCCACGGUGAAUGCGUUCCCGGGUCU